Molecule: ribosomal RNA, 809 nt
Filed under: uncultured bacterium
Lineage: Bacteria
Description: bacterial SSU rRNA
Rfam family: Bacterial small subunit ribosomal RNA
Source: RNAcentral
AGAGUUUGAUCCUGGCUCAGAGCGAACGUUAGCGGCAGGCCUAACACAUGCAAGUCGCACGAGAAUCCGGCUUCGGCCGGUAGUAAAGUGGCGGACGGGUGCGUAACACGUGGAUAAUCUGCCCUCUGGCGGGGGACAACAGUCCGAAAGGAUUGCUAAUACCGCAUAAGUCAGCGAGGUCUUCGGACCUCGUUGGGAAAAGGUGGCCUCUUCAUGAAAGCUACCACCGGAGGAUGAGUCCGCGGCCCAUCAGCUAGUUGGCGGGGUAAUGGCCCACCAAGGCUUAGACGGGUAGCUGGUCUGAGAGGAUGAUCAGCCACACUGGAACUGAGACACGGUCCAGACUCCUACGGGAGGCAGCAGUGGGGAAUAUUGGGCAAUGGGCGCAAGCCUGACCCAGCCAUGCCGCGUGAGUGAUGAAGGCCUUCGGGUCGUAAAGCUCUGUGGGGAGGGAAGAAACCGCCUAUGGCUAACAUCCAUGGGCCUUGACGGUACCUCCUUAGCAAGCACCGGCUAACUCCGUGCCAGCAGCCGCGGUAAUACGGAGGGUGCAAACGUUGCNNGGAAUCAUUGGGCGUAAAGCGCACGUAGGCGGCUCGUUAAGUCGGGUGUGNNNGCCCUGGGCUCAACCCAGGAAGUGCACUCGAAACUGGCGCUUGAAUAUGGAANNNGGGUCGCGGAAUUCCCGGUGUAGAGGUGAAAUUCGUAGAUAUCGGGAGGAACACCAGUGGCGAAGGCGGCGACCUGGGCCAAUAUUGACGCUGAGGUGCGAAAGCGUGGGGACAACAGAUUAGAUACCCUAGUAGUCC